RNAcentral lists this ribosomal RNA (444 nucleotides) under uncultured bacterium. RNAcentral describes it as "bacterial SSU rRNA". It matches the Rfam family "Bacterial small subunit ribosomal RNA", at positions 92 to 518 of the family's 1533-position model. The record is from RNAcentral.
AGAGCGGCGGACGGGUGAGUAACACGUGGACAAUCUGACCCCCCGGCCCGGGACUAGCCCAGGGAAACCUAGGAUUAAUACCGGAUGAGACGGGACCCGCGAUGGCGGGAUCCGGGAAAGGCGCUGCGGCGCCGCCGGGGGAUGAGUCUGCGUCCCAUUAGCUAGACGGCGGGGUAACGGCCCACCGUGGCGACGAUGGGUAGCCGGCCUGAGAGGGUGGACGGCCACAUUGGAACUGAGACACGGUCCAGACUCCUACGGGAGGCAGCAGCUAAGAAUCUUCCGCAAUGGGCGAAAGCCUGACGGAGCGAACCGCCGCGUGAACGAAGAAGGCCGUGAGGUUGUAAAGUUCUUUUCGGGAGGGGGAACAACCGUGGCAGGGAAUGGCCGCGGGAUGACGUGAAUCCCGGAAUAAGCCCCGGCUAACUACGUGCCAGCAGCCGC